RNAcentral lists this long non-coding RNA (1061 nucleotides) under Monodelphis domestica (gray short-tailed opossum). Its description in RNAcentral is "lncRNA (ENSMODG00000042832.1)". The record is from RNAcentral. Lineage: Eukaryota; Metazoa; Chordata; Mammalia; Didelphimorphia; Didelphidae.
GUGAGUUCUAGCUUUCAUCUUUAUUCAUUUCCUCAGGGUUUGGCACAUGGACAGACAUCAGUGAUGCCUCUAUCACUUCUGGUCUUAGAGAGUUGUCUGAGGCACUAAGUGUUUAAGUGACUUGUCCAAGAUUAUACAGACAGGGUGGAGAAGAGACACAACUGGGGUCCAAGUCUUCCAGAUCCCUUCAUCAGCUCUCUGGCCACUCAGAUAUCUGGAGGAUGUACAGAUGAAAAGAAAGAUGACAGAUAUAGAUAGGAGGAUGAGCUUUCCCCCUUAACUUCCUAUUUCACUGACUCCAAACCAUCUUAGAAUCCAUUUGGGAGAGCAGGAAAGCUGAACAAAUUGUCAUCAAUUUGUCCCAUCAUCUCAUGCAUUCUCCCUUCCUUCAGGUUGCUUUACUAAUUAUAUGGCUUUCUUUCUUUCUCUUUCUUUCUUUCUUUCUUUCUUUCUUUCUUUCUUUCUUUCUUUCUUUCUUUCUUUCUUUCUUUCUUUCUUUCUUUCUUUCUUUCUUUCUUUCUUUCUUUCUUUCUUUCUUUCUUUCUUUCUUUCUUUCUUUCUUUCUUUCUUCUUUCUUUCUUUCUUUCUUUCUUUCUUUCUUUCUUUCUCUUUCUUUCUUUCUUUCUUUCUUUCUUUCUUUCUUUCUUUCUUUCUUUCUUUCUUUCUUCUUUCUUUCUUCUUUCUUUCUUCUUUCUUUCUCUCUUUCUUCUAAUUACAGGGCCCUCCCAUUCACUGUAUUUAAUUAAAGACCUAUUGUCUACAGAGAACCUUGUUGUGCUCUGGAGGAAGAAGCAAACAUUAGAUAUGAUACAGGCUUUUUUUCUGUAAUUGUACAGCUUGGGACUAGCACAAAAACAAAUAUAGAGCCUGGUUAGUAAAUAAGAGGACAAGUAGACUUCUGGGGGGCUUUAGCAUAUAGUGAGUAAAGAAGAGUAGGUUUAGAUAAAACUGGAUAGCUUAGGUUCUAAGGGACUUGGAUGCCAGGAUGAGGAGUUUUAUUAAAUUCUAUGAUUCUACAGAAAACAAAUAAAAUAAAGCAAUCUUGUAUAUGAACUAUUGAA